Molecule: transfer RNA, 67 nt
Filed under: Dactylogyrus lamellatus
Lineage: Eukaryota; Metazoa; Platyhelminthes; Monogenea; Dactylogyridea; Dactylogyridae
Description: tRNA-Ile
Source: RNAcentral
GCCGAUAGGGCUGCAAAUGCAGGGCAUUUUGAUAUAGUGUUAUUUAAAGAGAAGUCUUUCGUCGGUA